RNAcentral lists this ribosomal RNA (433 nucleotides) under uncultured bacterium. Its description in RNAcentral is "partial 16S ribosomal RNA". It matches the Rfam family "Bacterial small subunit ribosomal RNA", at positions 29 to 507 of the family's 1533-position model. The record is from RNAcentral.
AGCGAACGCUGGCGGCAGGCCUAACACAUGCAAGUCGAACGAACUCUUCGGAGUUAGUGGCGGACGGGUGAGUAACACGUGGGAACGUGCCUUUUGGUUCGGAAUAACUCAGGGAAACUUGUGCUAAUACCGAAUGUGCCCUUCGGGGGAAAGAUUUAUCGCCAUUAGAGCGGCCCGCGUCUGAUUAGCUAGUUGGUGAGGUAACGGCUCACCAAGGCGACGAUCAGUAGCUGGUCUGAGAGGAUGACCAGCCACACUGGGACUGAGACACGGCCCAGACUCCUACGGGAGGCAACAGUGGGGAAUCUUGCGCAAUGGGCGAAAGCCUGACGCAGCCAUGCCGCGUGAAUGAUGAAGGUCUUAGGAUUGUAAAAUUCUUUCACCGGGGACGAUAAUGACGGUACCCGGAGAAGAAGCCCCGGCUAACUUCGUG